UACGUAGGGUGCGAGCGUUAAUCGGAAUUACUGGGCGUAAAGCGUGCGCAGGCGGUUCGUUAAGUCUGAUGUGAAAGCCCCGGGCUCAACCUGGGAAUGGCAUUGGAAACUGGCGGGCUCGAGUAUGGCAGAGGGGGGUGGAACUCCACGUGUAGCAGUGAAAUGCGUAGAGAUGUGGAAGAACACCGAUGGCGAAGGCAGCCCCCUGGGUCAAUACUGACGCUCAGGCACGAAAGCGUGGGGAGCAAAC
RNAcentral lists this ribosomal RNA (250 nucleotides) under uncultured bacterium. RNAcentral's name for it is "partial 16S ribosomal RNA". It matches the Rfam family "Bacterial small subunit ribosomal RNA", at positions 524 to 773 of the family's 1533-position model. The record is from RNAcentral.